AUGUCUGGGGUGCGCGCUAUGCGGAUCAGCAUGGAGUCGGCCUGCGAGAAGCGGGUCUGGGAGGUGGGCCUGGAUGGCACAGAGACCUACCUGCAGCCGCUGUCCAUGUCCCAGAACCUGGCGCGUCUGGCGCAGCAGAUCGACUUCAGCCAGGGCUCGGCCCCGAGGAGGAGGCAGGGGGCGCCGAGGGCGAUGCGCAGGACUGGGUGGACGCCGGGGCCAGCGGGGACCAGGACGACGAGGAAGGGUUGGUAAAAUUUCAGCCUCCCCUUUGGCCUUGGGACUCAGUGAGGAACAGUUUGAGAAGUGCCCUGACAGAGAUGUGCGUUCUCUAUGAUGUUCUCAGUAUCGUUAGGGAUAAAAAAUUUAUGACUCUUGAUCCCGUUUCUCAGGAUGGACUUCCUCCAAAACAGAAUCCCCAGACGUUACAGUUGAUAGCUAAAAAGAAGUCACUUGCUGGAGCAGCACAAAUCCUAUUGAAGGCCGCAGAAAGACUGACUAAAUCAGUUACCGAAAACCAAGAAAAUAAGCUACAAAGAGACUUCAACUCUGAGCUUCAGAGAUUAAGACAACACUGGAAACUUAGAAAAGUUGGAGAUAAAAUUCUUGGAGAUCUCAGCUACAGAAGUGCAGGAUCUCUCUUUCCCCAUCUUGGUACAUUUGAGGUCAUAAAGAAUACAGAUAUUGAUCUAGAUAAGAAGAUACCUGAAGAUUACUGUCCCCUGGAUGUUCAAAUUCCUAGCGAUUUAGAGGGAUCUGCACAUAUCAAGGUUUCCAUUCAAAAACCGGCUCCAGACAUAGGUGAUCUGGGCACGGUUAACCUCUUCAAACGGCCUUUGCCCAAAUCCAAACCAGGUUCCCCACAUUGGCAGACGAAAUUAGAAGCAGCACAAAAUGUUCUCUUGUGUAAAGAAAUUUUUGCACAGCUCUCUCAGGAAGCUGUUCACAUUAAAUCACAGAUCCCUCACAUUGUGGUGAAAAACCAGAUCAUCUCUCGGCCCUUUCCAAACUUGCAGUUAUCAAUUUCUUUGUGCCAUUUCUCAAAUGACAAGAAAUCCCAAAAAUUUGCUACAGAGAAGCAAAGUCCGGAGGACCACCUUUAUGUCCUAGAGCAUAAUUUGCAUCUACUGAUGAGAGAGUUUCAUAAACAGACCUUGAGUUCCAUCAUGAUGCCUCAUCCAGCGAGUGCACCUUUCGGCCACAAGAGAAUGAGACUUUCCGGUCCUCAAGCUUUUGAUAAAAAUGAAAUCAAUUCACUACAGUCCAGUGAAGGGCUUCUGGAAAAAAUAAUCAAACAAGCAAAGCAUAUUUUUCUGAGGAGUAGGACUACUGCAACCAUUGACAGCGUAGCAAGUCGCAUUGAGGACCCUCAGAUACAGGCUCACUGGUCAAAUAUUAAUGAUGUUUAUGAAUCUAGUGUGAAAGUCUUAAUCACGUCACAAGGUUAUGAACAAAUAUGCAAGUCCAUUCAGCUGCAGUUGAACAUUGGAGUUGAGCAGAUCCACGUGGUACACAGAGAUGGAAGAGAAAUCACGCUGUCUCACCAGGAGCAGGAGCUGCAGGACUUCCUUCUGUCUCAGAUGUCGCAGCAUCAGGUGCAUGCAGUUCAGCAGCUAGCCAAGGUCAUGGGCUGGCAAGUUCUGAGUUUCAGUAAUCAUGUGGGGCUUGGGCACAUAGAGAGCACUGGCAAUGCUUCCGCUAUAACAGUGGCCUCCCCAAGUGGUGACUAUGUUAUUUCAGUGUGCAACGGCCCUGAAAGUGGCAGCAAGAUUAUGGUUCAGUUUCCACGUAACCAGUGUAAAGACCUCCCAAAAAGUGAUGUUCUACAAGAUAGCAAAUGGAAUCAUCUGCGUGGCCCAUUCAAAGAAGUUCAGUGGAAUAAAAUGGAAGGUCGAAACUUUGUGCAUAAAAUGGAGCUGCUUAUGUCUGCUCUGAGCCCUUGUCUACUAUGAUUUUCUUCCAGAAGUUUCCAGAAUUUUUUUCCAGGGAAGUCUCCAGAAACUUUGACAUGAGGUGUUUGCAGAUCAAAUACAAGCAAAAGGAAGAGAAAUCU
RNA transcript from Myotis lucifugus (little brown bat), 2053 nucleotides. It is a transcript of the gene named mediator of RNA polymerase II transcription subunit 17 pseudogene, with no coding region annotated. The record is from RefSeq and is a predicted model, not a curated record. The transcript has a single exon. Lineage: Eukaryota; Metazoa; Chordata; Mammalia; Chiroptera; Vespertilionidae.